UCACCUAAACCACAGCUCUUGUAACAAGUAAAUGGCUAUAUCUGUGGUGUCCAAUCCCUCAUCUUAAUGAUGUUAAGAAAAUGUUUGUUUAACUAUGAAUUGAAAUUGUAUUCUGAGCCCUGCAGCUUUUCAGGUGAAGUGACAGAACCAGCCUUGCUACACUGGGGCAAAGUAGGUGGGCUCCAGGGCCUGAGUUCAGAUGGGCUGAAUUUCACUUAAUUCGCUCAAUUGUGUUUCCUUUAAGGCAUUUCUGAAGGCCUGGGGCCAGUCAACCUGAAAUACUGAGCACUGGGAUCUAAAUGGAAUUUAGGCUGCUUUUGGCUCCCUCUUUGUAUGUGCUUUAAGGCAUAUCAAAGGAGAAUUAACCUUAAGCAGGACAACUAAGAGCCCUGCAGUUAUGGAAUUCCCUAGUAAGACCAGACCUUCCAUCUUUUUCCUCAAUCACAGCAAGGCAGGUCUCAAAGACACAACAAAAAUGUUUCAUUUGGAAAAUAUCAAAAGGACCUGUUUCAGAAUUUCCAAAGUAAACUCAUUCUGGAGGAGGUCGAAGUAAAACAUCUGUCAGUCUCGUAAUCUCUUUCUCUCCUUCCACUGAGAAAUGGAGUUUAUGGGAAGGUACAGUUCAUUAAGAAAAGGAAAUUCGCCCCCUUUUCUUUACUAUUUCUGAAAACCAGGCCAUCAUACUGAAGAGCAUGAUUUGCAGAUUUAGUGGGAAACAUGCCUAAACCAGGCAAGAAGAAAAAUUCCAUGGAAAUCAACUUCCAAGUCAAACAGUUUCUGUAGGUCUGUGUUUGAAAUCUUCCCCCUGGAAGCCUAAGUUUAGGCAUCAGCUAAUUCUGGUCUUAUUAAAACAGCAUGAGAAGGAAAAACCAGCCAGACAACUCUGUAUAACUGUUGUAAUGUAAAUUAAUUCUAGUACUGUGAACACCCUAGGGUUACAUUCUUGUAACAUAAAUAUCAAUAAAGGAAAAAAAAAAAAAGCCUACAAUUAGUAAAUAGCUUUUUCUAAAAAAAGGUGAUUUUAUUGAGUUUUAAUAUACAGCUUUAAUAUGUUAGGGUAAUCAUACAAGAUCUCUCUUGUGUUCAAUUUACACAUUACAAUACAGACGUGAGCUAAAAUCUUUUGUUUUAAUGUACAAAAGGAAUCCAAUGUUGUCCACUAGCAGCUUUGAACUUGGCAAGAAAGGUUCUAGAGACUUUAAGUGCAGUAACAACCAUACAGAAUACAAAAUGAAUACAAAGACUUUUCGCCAAGGUAUAUAAACAUUUGAAAACAAAUGGUGCCUGCUCCACAGGGCAGACAACUAGCAAAUUAAAAACGUCACUGACCAAUGUUCCAGAGUAGGAGGA
Long non-coding RNA from Cygnus olor (mute swan), 1350 nucleotides. RefSeq lists it as uncharacterized. The transcript has 3 exons. The record is from RefSeq and is a predicted model, not a curated record. Lineage: Eukaryota; Metazoa; Chordata; Aves; Anseriformes; Anatidae.